UCCAGACUCCUACGGGAGGCAGCAGUGGGGGAUAUUGCACAAUGGGGGGAACCCUGAUGCAGCGACGCCGCGUGGGUGAAGGAGCGUUUCGGCGCGUAAAGCCCUAUCGGCAGGGAAGAAGGAGGACGGUACCUGACUAAGAAGCCCCGGCUAACUACGUGCCAGCAGCCGCGGUAAUACGUAGGGGGCAAGCGUUAUCCGGAUUUACUGGGUGUAAAGGGGGCGCAGACGGCAGCGCAAGCCAGGAGUGAAAGCCCGGGGCCCAACCCCGGGACUGCUCUUGGAACUGCGCGGCUGGAGUGCAGGAGGGGCAGGCGGAAUUCCUGGUGUAGCGGUGAAAUGCGUAGAUAUCAGGAGGAACACCGGUGGCGAAGGCGGCCUGCUGGACUGCAACUGACGUUGAGGCCCGAAAGCGUGGGGAGCAAACAGGAUUAGAUACCCGCGUAAG
RNAcentral lists this ribosomal RNA (448 nucleotides) under uncultured bacterium. RNAcentral describes it as "partial 16S ribosomal RNA". It matches the Rfam family "Bacterial small subunit ribosomal RNA", at positions 330 to 793 of the family's 1533-position model. The record is from RNAcentral.